AUGGAGCUGACGAGUCUCAAAUAGGACGAAACGCGCAUCCUAGAU
Non-coding RNA from Schistosoma rodhaini, 45 nucleotides. Lineage: Eukaryota; Metazoa; Platyhelminthes; Trematoda; Strigeidida; Schistosomatidae. The record is from Rfam.